CAGGACGAACGCUGGCGGCGUGCCUAACACAUGCAAGUCGAGCGAGGAGAUCCUUCGGGAUGAUCCUAGCGGCGGACGGGUGAGUAACACGUGGGCAACCUGCCUCAUAGAGAGGAAUAGCCUUCCGAAAGGGAGAUUAAUACCUCAUAACAUUGCAGUUUCGCAUGGAACAGCAAUUAAAGGAGUAAUCCGCUAUGAGAUGGGGCCCGCGGCGCAUUAGCUAGUUGGUGAGGUAACGGCUCACCAAGGCGACGAUGCGUAGCCGACCUGAGAGGGUGAUCGGCCACAUUGGGACUGAGACACGGCCCAGACUCCUACGGGAGGCAGCAGUGGGGAAUAUUGCACAAUGGGGGAAACCCUGAUGCAAGCAACGCCGCGUGAGUGAUGACGGCCUUCGGGUUGUAAAGCUCUGUCUUCAGGGACGAUAAUGACGGUACCUGAGGAGGAAGCCACGGCUAACUACGUGCCAGCAGCCGC
Molecule: ribosomal RNA, 477 nt
Filed under: uncultured bacterium
Lineage: Bacteria
Description: bacterial SSU rRNA
Rfam family: Bacterial small subunit ribosomal RNA
Source: RNAcentral